GGGGUGGCGGUGAGGCGGCGGGGCCGAGGCUCUGCUUCGCGGCGGCGGCAGCGCCACUGGCACCGGCAGCGGCACCGGCACCAUGUACGGCUUCGUCAAUCACGCCCUGGAGCUGCUCGUCAUCCGCAACUACGGCCCCGCCGUCUGGGAGGACAUCAAGAAGGAGGCACAGCUGGAUGAAGAAGGACAGUUUCUGGUCAGAAUAAUUUAUGAUGAUUCCAAAACCUAUGACCUGGUUGCAGCUGCAAGCAAGGUCCUUAAUCUAAAUGCUGGGGAAAUUCUUCAAAUGUUUGGGAAGAUGUUUUUUGUGUUUUGUCAAGAAUCUGGUUAUGAUACAAUUCUACGUGUCUUGGGCUCAAAUGUCAGAGAGUUUUUGCAGAACCUGGAUGCUCUGCACGAUCACCUCGCUACUAUUUACCCGGGUAUGCGAGCACCUUCCUUUAGAUGCACUGAUGCAGAGAAGGGGAAGGGGCUCAUUCUGCAUUACUAUUCAGAAAGAGAAGGUCUUCAGGAUAUUGUCAUUGGAAUCAUUAAAACAGUAGCUCAACAGAUCCAUGGUACAGAAAUAGACAUGAAGGUUAUUCAACAGAGAAAUGAGGAGUGUGACCACAUUCAAUUUUUAAUUGAAGAGAAAGAGUCUAAAGAAGAGGACUACUAUGAAGACCUUGACAGAUUUGAAGAAAACGGUACCCAAGAGUCUCGCAUCAGUCCCUAUACUUUCUGCAAGGCCUUUCCUUUCCACAUAAUAUUUGACAGAGAUCUGGUGGUCACGCAGUGUGGCAAUGCUAUAUACAGAGUCCUUCCACAGUUGCAGCCAGGAAAUUGCAGUUUGUUGUCAGUUUUCUCCUUGGUCCGGCCUCAUAUUGAUAUUAGUUUCCAUGGAAUCCUCUCACAUAUCAAUACAGUCUUUGUACUGAGGACUAAGGAGGGGCUGUUGGAUGUGGAAAAGCUGGAGUGUGAAGAUGAACUGACUGGCACAGAAAUCAGCUGCUUACGCCUGAAAGGGCAAAUGAUCUACUUACCUGAAGCUGACAGCAUUCUCUUUCUUUGUUCACCAAGUGUGAUGAACUUGGAUGAUUUAACCAGAAGAGGUUUAUAUCUGAGUGAUAUUCCAUUGCAUGAUGCUACCCGUGAUCUGGUUCUUUUGGGAGAGCAGUUCAGAGAGGAAUAUAAACUGACUCAAGAGCUUGAGAUCCUCACUGACAGACUGCAGCACACACUGCGGGCGCUGGAAGAUGAAAAGAAAAAGACAGACACAUUACUGUACUCUGUUCUACCACCAUCAGUGGCAAAUGAGCUGAGACACAAGCGUCCUGUUCCAGCUAAGCGGUACGACAAUGUGACCAUUCUUUUCAGUGGCAUUGUUGGAUUCAAUGCCUUUUGUAGUAAACAUGCCUCUGGAGAGGGAGCCAUGAAGAUUGUCAAUCUUUUAAAUGAUCUGUACACAAGAUUUGAUAUUCUGACUGAUUCACGAAGGAAUCCAUUUGUUUAUAAGGUGGAAACAGUUGGGGACAAGUACAUGACAGUGAGUGGUUUACCAGAGCCUUGCAUGCAUCAUGCACGAUCUAUCUGUCACCUGGCUUUGGAUAUGAUGGAAAUAGCAGGCCAAGUUCAAGUAGAUGGUGAGCCUGUACAGAUAACAAUAGGAAUCCAUACUGGUGAGGUAGUCACAGGUGUCAUAGGUCAAAGGAUGCCACGGUACUGUCUCUUUGGAAAUACUGUCAAUCUAACAAGCAGAACAGAAACUACUGGAGAAAAGGGAAAGAUCAAUGUCUCCGAAUACACUUACAGGUGUCUUAUGACACCAGAAAAUUCAGAUCCUCAGUUCCAUCUGGAGUACAGGGGUCCAGUUUCUAUGAAGGGCAAAAAAGAACCAAUGCAGGUUUGGUUUUUGUCCAGAAAGAGUACAGAGACAGAGGUAUGAGUAACUAGAAUGUAAUUUUUUUUUUCAAACAAGGCAUAAACAUUACAAAUUUAAUCUAAACCACUGAAAUCCAUUUGCAUUUGCAAAACUAAAUAUUCCCUAAAAAAAUAUGAAGAGUUUUGUACAACACUAUUUACUAUCUUGACAGCACUUGAAAGUCCUUGAUUAUUUGUCUUUGCAGUUUGUGCAGUUCCUGAAAGAGUACUUUUGAUUUCAAAAAGUCCUUGAGGGAAUGCCAAGUGUUUCAAUAUUUAUAUCUCCCUCUUACAGAUUUCUCCACUGUACUAGAUUUUGCAAUAUCAUGUCCAUUUCUGUUUAGCUAGCAUGUCUGGUUAUCAGCACUUCAAAAUUCACCAUUUGUUUUCUUGCAGUUAGUGAAUAAAUGUGCCUUCAAAUAUUUAGGCAACAGUCCAGCAACUACUUGCAAGCAGGUUCACAGCUGAUGAGUAUGGUGAUCUGUUAACCCCUGCUGGGUUGUUCAGAGACUGUUGCAUGGUAGAGGUCUUGCUUUAGAAACAUAUAGGGUGAAAACUAUUUCUUUUAAUGACAUAUGAGCCUAAGUCCUCCUCUGAAAAUGAUGUAGGGUAAAGCUCUUCAAGCACUGAGUGGUCUUUUAGCUUAUGCCUCAAUUUCAGAAUUCCAGGCAUGUAUUAUCCAAAAUCUCGGUAAAAGCCAACGAAAUUUAGACUCGUAAGUGUGCUACAAACUUAUGAGUUACAGUAUGCCAGCUGCUUUGCCAUAGCUGAGUAAGUGCAUACAUUCCACCCAUUGUCAACACGGAGGAGAAAAAUGGGUAAAAGUAAUUUACAUAGCUUGAAUUUUGCCCUAAAGUAAUACAAAAAGAAUGAGUUUUAAACUAAUGUAUUUAAUCUUAAAAAUGCACUUGAAGAAAAUAAUGAAAGUCAUGAAUUAUCUUGGCUGAAAUAAUUCUUGUAAGUCACAGGAAAUUAUUGAUAUGUCUGAAUACUCAUGUAUUUCUGAAAAUGAAGUUUAGGUUGUUAAACUGUUAAGGCUCUUUAGGAGAUCUAAUCCAGAUUUAUUACCACUGGUACCCAAGUAUAUGAAUAAUGAAUUUUUAGUGGUAACUCCCGAUAUUAACCCCUGGUAUUAAACUUCAGGGGAGAGCCUGUACUUUAACUCUGCAUUUAAACUCUGUAUUUUAGUAUGUAUUAUUUAAUUAUAUUCUGAGUGCCACUUUUGAGAAUACUUUUCUAUUCUUAUUCUACAACAAGAUUAACUAUAAUUUCACAUGGCUAUCACUAUUUCAAAUCUAUAGUUGUAUUUAAAAUAUACUUUAAUUAAACACCUGUCACUUCUUUUUUUCUGCAUUAUAAACGUCCUAUCAUUUGUAGCAGGGCACAUUGUAAUUUUAAAUGUAAAUUUCAGGGAGGUACUGAGUCAGGUGGAUAUUUUCCUUGUUUUCAGCCUCACACCUGUUUAAUAUGAAUAUCAGGUUCAGAUAGUUUAGGAUUUUAAAUGUUGCAAUUUCUUUUCAGAGAUCUUGUAUGACAUUUAGUUUUGUUAAUCCUCACAACAGUCCUGAGAGAUACUUGUUAAUACUAUUAACCUAGUAAUUGAGCUUUAUAGAGGGAGACAUGGGGGCAGGAAUAAACCUGACAGAAACAUACUGUGAGCCUGAUUUUCAGGAGCACUUAAGACUCACAGUUUAAGUACAUUCAAAAAGUCUUUCUAAUUUUGAUAGUUUUUGUUAAUUCUGAAAUUAAGAUAUAGAUGUAAUUCUUACAGUCAGAAGGACUUCUCCCAUCAUAGGUAUCUCUUCUAAAUUGUACUAAGUUUCAGAGAAUAAGAGAUUAGAAAGAUACCUUGAUGUGGUGAUGUGAACUGAUAAUCAUUUUGUCAGAGGUGAUUUUGUAAUCCAAAAGCAGAAAUUAGAUAACCAACUUUUUAUGUUUGAUUACUUCAAAGUAAUCACAUUGCUUUAUGCAAGGAUGUAGUAUUGGUUUUCUUUUCAGAAAUUUUUCAGAAUGCAAAUGUAUCAUUGUGUGCGAUGCCACCAAUUUCAGGGGGACUGUUCAUAAUAAUAAAUAUAGCAUUUUACCAUAUAGUUUCUGUACAGAAAGGUCCAGAAUAUUGCAAGAAUUGGCUUGUAGAAGUAAACAUGAAAAUAGUUCUUGAAUCAUCCAGAAGAUAGUUUUGAUGAUUAGGCUUUUACUUUGAAGUUUUCUACCUCCAAUAUCUUUAAUCUAGGAUAGAUGCACAUUAGUGAUAUAUUUUCCUUUUCAUUAUAUCCAUUAGAGAGUUAUUAGCUCAGCAUUUGCAAAUCUGUCAGCAUAAUAUUUUACCCUGAAGACCACUAGUAAAUAUAUGGUAAGGAAAGAGGACAAAAUACUUACAGCUGCUGUAGAGAUGUGAAAGCAAUUCUUAAAAUAUACUCUUGCUCUGCUAGGCCUGUAGAAAAUGAUAGAGUUGAAACAGUUCAGCACGCCUCAAACUUGGUUCCUAAGUUGACAGCUCUAAUAUCAGUUGCCAUGAGCAGCAGUUUCUUCUGAGGAAGACCUAAUUUACAAGAAAAAGUGUUGGUUUGGAGUGCUGCUCCUUUACUUUUUUCCCCGUUUAAGAUAUCUCUUCCAUGAUACCAAUACAGCAAAAAAUAGAAUUGUAUCAAAAAUACACGUAGAACAAAAGCAACAGUGGCCAAUUACUCAUUUUGCAUCUACUUGUUUGCAUGUUUUAAGAUUAAUUAUUGCCAUCUUUAUUAUUUUAACAGUGGUUCAGCUGAAGCUUCUCUCUUGAGAAGCAGAUUUGUUGCAAAAAAUAAAUCUUACAGAGAGCCUCAGAUGUCUGACUGCAAUUUUCCUCCCUCCCCACUUUGAAAUAUCUUUAUCUUCUGCCCUGUUCCCACAUUACUGAUGGGAACAAAUUAAAGUACCUCAUAGCUGGUAGUUCAUCAGGGAAUGUAAGAAUUGUUACAUUCCUACAUACAAUACAUACAAAAGAAAUACAUGCCCUACCUAUGCUUUGUUUUAUUUCUUUUUAUUUACUGAUAUUGGUUGCAAGUUGUAAAAUGUGUUUUGUCACUGCAUUAACCCACCAUGUUGUUGCUUCAAAGAAAAUCCCUUACUUCUUGAAUUCUACUUGCAUGCAUUCAAGGAAACAAAGCAAGACGCUUUCUGAACUGAGGGAAGAGGAAGAGGAUGCUGGAUAGGGUGCAAUACUGUCUCCAAAUAGGGUGCCUGGCAGUAAGCUUGAGUUAUGGAUGUUAUUUCACAUUAUAUCCCAUUGCUACAUGCAGUGCCAUUGUCUUUCGCCCUCCUCCUGAAAUCAUACUCACCAUUUUCCUCCAGGCUUGCUUGCUAAUUUCUUGUCCUUAUUGUUUGGUAUUGUUAUAUCUCUGCUAUGAGCAUGUAUUUCAAGCUUUCCUUUUCUUGAUAUGCAUUUUUGCACGUCAGUCAUUCCUACCCCUGGAUAAUAUUGAAUGAAUCUGUGUAGAAUGCACGCCACAACUAACCACUUCAAUCUGAUGCUUCACAUCUUCAUCUUCAUCUCUGAAGUACAGUGGUUAUGUGAAUUGAUGACAUUGCUGGAAAGAUAGGUGUUUCAGUUGAUGGGCAGAACAAUGAACCUAAAGAACUAUUUUUAAAAACAAUACCUAAAGCAGCAUUAUGAAAAUUAUUGUAUAAAUAUUGUUAUCGGAUUUAGUUCUGCUAUUACCAUGCUUCCCAUUCAUUUUGUGAAUAACAUUUGAUGCACUGUAAAUUCCUGGUUAGAAAAAGGUUUCUCUUUGGAUAGUAUGCUGCAUUUUCCCUUUGUAGAUGCUUUGUAAACAUCUUCUGUAUUGAAAGGGGGCAGUUGUUUUUCUGAUGCUGCCAUUUGAAGCAUGUGCCAAUAUACUUCUACUGAAAUGCUGUUCACUUGCAAUGUAUUUCUCAUUGAUUUGUAUUAAGUAAAUUAAAUUGUCAUAUUAAUUAUAGAUUGCUGGACAAUUUUAGACCACUUGUAGUGCAUUGAUUCUUGUCUCAUGGAGCCCCUGGAAUUGAAGGCAUGCUCUCGGGACAUGGUUGCCAUAGUUGCCUUUUGAUUUGGUCUCUCAAAUUUUCAGAAAUGAUCUUACUUUAUUUCUUGGGAGGACCUGGUAAAAUUCUAGGCAUCAUGGCAUAAUCAAGGGAUGUAAAGCUUGGAAAGGGUCAUAGUGUCUUUUAUCAGCUGAUACAGUUAGUAAAAGUGGACAACGUAUCGGAUGCAUAGAUCUUCCAUAACUUCAGUAUACAGUGCAUUUUUAUGUGAAUAAUAUCUGUUCUUAUCAGACUGAUAAUUUCUGAAUAUUUGUAUUAUGAAAUAGGAUAGUGCAAUUACUUUGUGUACAAAAAUUGUCUAUAUCUAGUAUACCUUAUUAGCACAGAAUAUAUAUGUAUAAAUGUUUCAUGUUAAUGUGCAAAAGAAAUUGCAAUAAAUUAUUUUUUCCACUGA
Pseudopipra pipra is the source of this 6352-nucleotide RNA transcript. It is a transcript of the gene named guanylate cyclase 1 soluble subunit beta 1, with no coding region annotated. Lineage: Eukaryota; Metazoa; Chordata; Aves; Passeriformes; Pipridae. The transcript is spliced from 14 exons. The record is from RefSeq and is a predicted model, not a curated record.